GUAGGUCCCGAGCGUUGUCCGGAUUUAUUGGGCGUAAAGCGAGCCCAGGCAGUUUGAUAAGUCUGAAGUUAAAGGCUGUGGCUCAACCAUAGUUCGCUUUGGAAACUGUCAAACUUGAGUGCAGAAGGGGAGAGUGGAAUUCCAUGUGUAGCGGUGAAAUUCGUAGAUAUUCGGAAGAACACCAGUGGCGAAGGCGACUCACUGGACACAUAUUGACGCUGAGGUGCGAAAGCGUGGGGAGCAACCAGGAUUAGAUACCCUGGUAGUCCACGCCGUAAACUAUGAGUGCUAGGUGUUGGAUCCUUUCCGGGAUUCAGUGCCGAAGCUAACGCAUUAAGCACUCCGCCUGGGGAGUACGACCGCAAGGUUG
RNAcentral lists this ribosomal RNA (370 nucleotides) under uncultured bacterium. RNAcentral describes it as "bacterial SSU rRNA". It matches the Rfam family "Bacterial small subunit ribosomal RNA", at positions 527 to 896 of the family's 1533-position model. The record is from RNAcentral.